UGGAGGUAAUGUGUGAUCCAGGAGUUAAGAGGAGAGUGGAUGUCUUGCUGGGAUACACUUCCUCCUUCAAUCACGUGUCCAUGGAGAGAGGCAGGGGAUUUGGGGCAUUGAUUAGACGAGGUGGGGUAGCUUGGGAAUUGGCGGAGCAGUCUACCGAUGGCAGGUCACGGCUGGCAUGUAGUCCUGGCAGAGUGGAACCUCUGCAGGCUCAGUUUGCAGCGGCACCAUGCCUAAAGGAGAGCCGAGAUUGCGGGCUCCUCUUCAAGCUGGACAGGCCAAGAGGGACCCCAAUAGAGGAGGGAAGUGUGGCAACACAUGGAAGUGGCUUAGGCCCCGGAAGGAAGCGUGGCUAGAACAAGGCAGGACACCCAUCGUAGGCAAAGGCCAGACGGUGGGAUACAAAGCUUGCCAUAUCAUAAAGUUACUAUUUACACUGCGGACCACCCUCUCCCAGAGUCUCCAAGUUGCAGGGGGAGGAACAUUUUUGAAAUUAUUGGAAGCUAGUUAAUCAUGAAACAUGAUAGCCCAUGAAGUCAGUGAUGUAAAUUGUGAAGCAUAAGCCUUGGUUUUGUUUUCUCCUGAAGAAAUGUAAGUACAGGAGAACUGUCACCAAGCUAAAAAUGAAGAACAAAGGAGAACUGGGGAGGGGCCAGUUUCACCUUGGCAUUGAAGAUGGCCGUCUCUCUGCACCUGUUCCACCUGCUGCCUGGCUGGUCUCCACUCCUUUAUUGUUUGUGUUUCUGCACUGCCCCGAGGAGCCGUUCCUGAGAAGUAGCACUUUGCUUUGCAGGCGAUGCUCACCUUUAUGAAUGUUUUGAUUCAACCACAGGCAGAGAAUCUGGAAGCAAGGUGACAAUCUUUCUCUAAUGCGAGGCCAAGUUAUGCUGGAGCUGGGGUGUGUGCACAGGGAUUCCGGGGUGCAGGUCUGCUGGUCAGGACCAGCCUGAAUAUGACUCUCCUUCAUAGAGGAAAAAUGGAAGCAAACCAGAAGAGAAUUGCUCUGCUCUCUUUCUUGCAUCAUCUUCAUCAAGCAAUGAACUUACCCGUGUUUUUUGUUUUAUUAUUAAAAACAUAGUUUUAACAACAACACUCUUAAUUUUGGUCCCACCGAAGUUGGUAUCUGGAAUGUUUUACCAGCAGCCAGGUUGGUGGGGUAGCAGAUAGACAG
Eptesicus fuscus (big brown bat) is the source of this 1168-nucleotide long non-coding RNA. RefSeq lists it as uncharacterized. The record is from RefSeq and is a predicted model, not a curated record. Lineage: Eukaryota; Metazoa; Chordata; Mammalia; Chiroptera; Vespertilionidae. The transcript is spliced from 3 exons.